GCUGGCGGCACGCCUAACACAUGCAAGUCGAACGAAGUAGCAAUACUUAGUGGCAGACGGGUGAGUAACAUGUAGGUAUCUGCCCUUUGGCCUGGAAUAACACGAGGAAACUUGUGCUAAUACCGGAUAAGUCUUUACGGAGAAAGCUUUAUGCACCAUUGGAUGAGCCUGCACUUGAUUAGUUUGUUGGUGGGGUAAUGGCCUACCAAGACUGUGAUCAAUAGCUGAUUUGAGAGGAUGAUCAGCCACAUUGGGACUGAGACACGGCCCAAACUCCUACGGGAGGCAGCAGUGGGGAAUCUUGCACAAUGGAGGAAACUCUGAUGCAGCGAUGCCGCGUGAGUGAAGAAGGCCCUUGGGUUGUAAAGCUCUUUCGUCGGGGAAGAAAAUGACUGUACCCGAAUAAGAAGGUCCGGCUAACUUCGUGCCAGCAGCCGCGGUAAUACGAAGGGACCUAGCGUAGUUCGGAAUUACUGGGCUUAAAGAGUUCGUAGGUGGUUGAAAAAGUUAGUGGUGAAAUCCCAGAGCUUAACUCUGGAACUGCCAUUAAAACUUUUCAGCUAGAGUAUGAUAGAGGAAAGCAGAAUUUCUAGUGUAGAGGUGAAAUUCGUAGAUUAUUAGAAAGAAUACCAAUUGCGAAAGGCAGGCUUUCUGGAUCAUUACUGACACUGAGGGAACGAAAGCAUGGGGUAGCGAAGAGGAUUAAGAUACCCUCGUAGUCCAUGCCGUAAACGAUGUGUGUUAGACGUUGGAAAUUUAUUUUUCAGUGUCGCAGGGAAACCGAUAAACACACCGCCUGGGGAGUACGACCGCAAGGUUAAAACUCAAAUGAAUUGACGGGGACCCGCACAAGUAGUGGAGCAUGUGGUUUAAUUCGAAGAUACGCGCAGAACCUUACCAACACUUGACAUGUUCGUCGCGACUCUAAGAGAUUAGAGUUUUCGGUUCGGCCGGACGAAACACAGGUGCUGCAUGGCUGUCGUCAGCUCGUGUCGUGAGAUGUUGGGUUAAGUCCCGCAACGAGCGCAACCCUCACUUUUAGUUGCCAUCAUUAAGUUGGGCACUCUGAAAGAACUGCCAGUGAUAAGCUGGAGGAAGGUGGGGAUGACGUCAAGUCCUCAUGGCCCUUACGUGUUGGGCUACACACGUGCUACAAUGGUAUCUACAACAGGAAGCAAGACUGCGAAGUUAAGCAAAUCCCUAAAAGAUACCUCAGUUCGGAUUGCACUCUGCAACUCGAGUGCAUGAAGCUGGAAUUACUAGUAAUCGUGGAUCAGCGUGCCACGGUGAAUGCGUUCCCGGGUCUUGUACACACCGCCCGUCACACCAUGGGAGUUGGUUCUACCUUAAG
Molecule: ribosomal RNA, 1351 nt
Filed under: uncultured Alphaproteobacteria bacterium
Lineage: Bacteria; Pseudomonadati; Pseudomonadota; Alphaproteobacteria
Description: uncultured alpha proteobacterium 16S ribosomal RNA
Rfam family: Bacterial small subunit ribosomal RNA
Source: RNAcentral